GUGCGCCUAUGUGCGCGCGCGAGAGAAGGGGGCGAGGGGAGAGCUUGGCACCCAGCCAGCUACCAUCAGAAUUAGCUCAUUGUUCAAUAUAACCCGCACUGGCAAACGAAGUCUGAGAGAGAGAGAGAGAUUUCCCCUGAUAGCCACCCCCCUUUCUUUUCUCUCCCCCCUCCCAUUUUCCAAGGCUGCACUCUCAAAGAGGUGCAGUCAUUUCUCCCCACACCCCCUUCCCAGCCCACUCUUUUCCCCUCCCUUCCUUCCUCCCCCUUCUAUAAAUUCCCUUCUGUAGCAUGCUGCCCUUUUAAAAUCCACAUUUGUGUUUCAGAUCAUGUAGAAAAGACAGAAGGGGAGAAAGUGCUUUUGUCUAGCAUUCUGUUCGAGCUGCAGACAAAAAGUGCAGUCUAAAGUCUUAAUAGAAUCUGAGAAUGGUUUAUUAUCCAAGGCUCACAGCAGACCAGAAACACAUUCCAGUCAGUCAUGGGCAUGGAGGAUUCCUUAAGGACAAUCUUCCCAUCCCAAAGGAAGUCAAUCGCAAAAAGAACAAGAAUUCUGAAGAUUUGUUCCUGACACCAGCAAAUGGCUAUGGACACCAUUUCACCAAAAUCAAUUACCUCUCCUCUUUUUAAUCAUAACUCCUCAUUUGUAUUAAAUAUGGUGUAUGGGUGUUGAUGAGGUGAUCAUGGUAUCAUAUAUCGGGAAUUGUUUAUGUGUAUAUCAUAAGAAGAAAACUAAGGGACUCUGAGCCUUGCUUUAGAGAAUUACAGCGGGAAAAAAAAACUAUGUACCAUAAAACCGGUUUUUAACCAUUCAAGUAAAAGCUCUCAGAAUUUCACACUGUGAACUCAAGUUUACAAACAUGACAGGUGGGCCUUCAGGCCUUGUUUCUACCACAGCAAUGUCUUCCACUACUCAAACUCAACUGACCACAUGCAACUGGUAAACUGCUGCCUCUCCAUUUCCAUUAUUCCGAACUGCUUCCUGCAGAGGCUGAGAGUCCCCCUUUUAUUUCAUUUUAGAUGUAACAAGCCUAGUAGUUUAUUUUCAUUGAUUGUCUGUAUAUCUCUAUAUUUUAUCCAUGUACUCUUUUGAUGUAUAGAAGUAGUAUGAAACUCAUGGUUUCCUUGUGGUAAGUGACUGAGAUGCUGCCACGGGAUUUGAGAACACUGAUGAAUGGUGCUAUUUUGGACUUUAAACAUGCUCCUUGGCAAGGUAGCUCUGAUGGAGUUAUUUUUAAUUUCCAUGUUCUAAGAAGGUGUUGGUACUUUGUUCUUGUUCUUUAGACUGGACUGACUUGUUUCCUUGUGUCUUCAGUGUGGCUUUCUUAUUCCGUGUUGUAGGGUGAGUUAAUACUAAUACAGUGAGUGAGGAACUGAUUCCCACCUGAGUAUGCUCACAAACUUGCGAUGGGUAGUGGGAGCAAUCACAAAAUUGUAAUUUACUACAAUUUUCCUUUUUCUACCAUCCUGCUCAUGUGAUUUCGGAUAAAAUAUAGCAAUAAUUUCUCCUCUGUGUGGUCUUUAGGGGUCUUCUUUUGUCUUUCAUGUCUCAAUUCAUUAGAAAGGCUUUAAUUAAAAGGGGGUUUAGCAUGUUUUUAAAUGUCCUUUUAAGAGUGGAAAACAUGGAUUUUUUUUAACAAAGCAGAAUUAAUGUUCCUUUAAAUGUGUAGAAAGAGGAACUCUUAAAAAGCAAUGAAUAUACUUCCACAGACUUUCCAACAUGUGGAUUUUACAUUUUUGUUCUUGCUCCCGGGGAAUUAGGAAACAAAAACACAAAACAAAACAGUACCAUCUACUCAUGGAAUGUUGUUGUGUUAGACACAGUCUGGAAGCCCACCUUAAUUUUUUAUAUAACUCUGUCUUUCAGCUCUUCCUUUUACUGGGCAGGCUUUGUCCUGAGCCAUUUAGCUUCUGACUGUUAAAUACCAAUGCAUGCACUGCACUUCUUAAUUUUCUUCCCCAUCCUUAUUCUUGUGCACUUUCUUUCUAGUAGAUUAGAUAAGUCAACAGUAUUCAGCAAUCGUGGCAUAUCUGUAUAGUUGCAGUUGUGUACUGCUGAAAAUGCAGGCUUUUGUAAUGGCGUGAUCUUUAAUAAUGCACUACAAGUACCCUAUGUAUUUUAGCUCUUUUAGUAGGAUUUGUUCAAUAAAUAUGCAAGCUCUAAGAGUAA
This is a non-coding RNA of Pogona vitticeps (central bearded dragon), 2166 nucleotides long. The record is from RefSeq and is a predicted model, not a curated record. Lineage: Eukaryota; Metazoa; Chordata; Lepidosauria; Squamata; Agamidae.